UACGUAGGGUGCAAGCGUUAAUCGGAAUUACUGGGCGUAAAGCGUGCGCAGGCGGUUAUGUAAGACAGUUGUGAAAUCCCCGGGCUCAACCUGGGAACUGCAUCUGUGACUGCAUAGCUAGAGUACGGUAGAGGGGGAUGGAAUUCCGCGUGUAGCAGUGAAAUGCGUAGAUAUGCGGAGGAACACCGAUGGCGAAGGCAAUCCCCUGGACCGGUAUUGACGCUGAGGCGCGAAAGCUAGGGGAGCAAACGGG
This 253-nucleotide ribosomal RNA is filed under the name uncultured bacterium. Its description in RNAcentral is "partial 16S ribosomal RNA". It matches the Rfam family "Bacterial small subunit ribosomal RNA", at positions 524 to 776 of the family's 1533-position model. The record is from RNAcentral.